Molecule: ribosomal RNA, 468 nt
Filed under: uncultured bacterium
Lineage: Bacteria
Description: partial 16S ribosomal RNA
Rfam family: Bacterial small subunit ribosomal RNA
Source: RNAcentral
GACGAACGCUGGCGGCGUGCUUAACACAUGCAAGUCGAACGGAAAGGCCCUGCUUUUUUGGGGUUCUCGAGUGCCGAACGGGUGAGUAACACGUGUGUAACCUGCUCUUGAUUUUGGGAUGACUUCAGGAAACUGGAGCUAAUAUCCUAUAGGAGCUCCUCCUGCAUGGUGGGGGUUGGAAAGUUUCGGCGGUUGGGGCUGGAUUCGCGGCUUAUCAGCUUGUUGGUUGGGUAGUGGCUUACCAAGGGUUUGAAGGGUAGCCGGCCUGAGAGGGUGACCGGGCACAUUGGGACUGAGAUAGGGACCAGACUCGUACGGGAGGCAGCAGUGGGGAAUAUUGCACAAUGGGCCGAAGCCUGAUACAGCAACGCCGCGUUCGGGAUGACGGCUUUCUGGUUGUAAAACGCUUUCGCCUGAGACGAAGCGUGUGUGACGGUAAUGGGAAAAGAAGCACCGGCUAACUUCGUG